AUUGAACGCUGGCGGCAGGCUUAACACAUGCAAGUCGAGCGAGCGGCGGACGGGUGAGUAAUGUCUGGGAAACUGCCUGAUGGAGGGGGAUAACUACUGGAAAAGGUAGCUAAUACCGCAUACCAUCAGAUGUGCCCAGAUGGGAUUAGCUAGUGGGUGGGGUAAUGGCUCACCUAGGCGACGAUCCCUAGCUGGUCUGAGAGGAUGACAGCCAACAUUGGAACUGAGACACGGUCCAGACGCCUACGGGAGGCAGCAGUGGGGAAGAUUGCACAAUGGGCGCAAGCCUUAUGCAGCCAUGCCGCGUGUGUGAAGAAGGCCUUCGGUUUGUAAAGCACUUUCAUCGAGUAGGCGUUACUCGCAGAAGAAGCACCGGCUAACUACGUGCCAGCAGCCGCGGUAAUUC
RNAcentral lists this ribosomal RNA (406 nucleotides) under uncultured bacterium. RNAcentral describes it as "partial 16S ribosomal RNA". It matches the Rfam family "Bacterial small subunit ribosomal RNA", at positions 30 to 526 of the family's 1533-position model. The record is from RNAcentral.